This 445-nucleotide ribosomal RNA is filed under the name uncultured organism. Its description in RNAcentral is "partial 16S ribosomal RNA". It matches the Rfam family "Bacterial small subunit ribosomal RNA", at positions 334 to 796 of the family's 1533-position model. The record is from RNAcentral.
CACUCCUACGGGAGGCAGCAGUGGGGAAUAUUGGACAAUGGGCGCAAGCCUGAUCCAGCCAUGCCGCGUGAGUGAUGAAGGCCCUAGGGUUGUAAAGCUCUUUCACCGGAGAAGAUAAUGACGGUAUCCGGAGAAGAAGCCCCGGCUAACUUCGUGCCAGCAGCCGCGGUAAUACGAAGGGGGCUAGCGUUGUUCGGAAUUACUGGGCGUAAAGCGCACGUAGGCGGAUCGAUCAGUCAGGGGUGAAAUCCCAGGGCUCAACCCUGGAACUGCCUUUGAUACUGUCGAUCUGGAGUAUGGAAGAGGUGAGUGGAAUUCCGAGUGUAGAGGUGAAAUUCGUAGAUAUUCGGAGGAACACCAGUGGCGAAGGCGGCUCACUGGUCCAUUACUGACGCUGAGGUGCGAAAGCGUGGGGAGCAAACAGGAUUAGAAACCCCGGUAGUCC